UGUAUUUCCAGCAUGCAGCCUUUUUCAAAACCCACACACCAAACAUUGUUCAAGGUGGGAGAGGAACUGUAUCAUCUAUAAGAAAAGGUCUGUGGAGUUGUGGAUGACCUGAGACUGGACUUGGAGAGUG
This 130-nucleotide long non-coding RNA is filed under the name Monodelphis domestica (gray short-tailed opossum). RNAcentral's name for it is "lncRNA (ENSMODG00000032768.2)". The record is from RNAcentral. Lineage: Eukaryota; Metazoa; Chordata; Mammalia; Didelphimorphia; Didelphidae.